RNAcentral lists this ribosomal RNA (162 nucleotides) under Triticum aestivum (bread wheat). RNAcentral's name for it is "rRNA LSU_rRNA_eukarya". It matches the Rfam family "Eukaryotic large subunit ribosomal RNA", at positions 967 to 1124 of the family's 3401-position model. The record is from Rfam by way of RNAcentral. Lineage: Eukaryota; Viridiplantae; Streptophyta; Magnoliopsida; Poales; Poaceae. RNAcentral also lists the same sequence under 1 other name.
UUUACCUCAGGAUAGCUGGAGCCCAUUACAAGUUCUAUCAAGUAAAGCCAAUGAUUAGAGGCAUCGAGGAUGCAACGUCCUCGACCUAUUCUCAAACUUUAAAUAGGUAGGAUGGUUUCAAACAGUGUACCCUUCCUACACAAACUGAAGGGCACGGUUCCU